GCCACUGGGGCUGCCCUUGUCUUGACCUUUGGAAGGCCAAAUAGCUCACUUCCUUGUCAUUUAUGUUUAUGACACUACAAACUGGGCAGUGGUCAAUGUGAUCACUCAUCUGUCUUAGCAGCAUAAAAAUGUCAGUGAUACUCAAGCAUGUCGUUCUGAUUUAGUACUAACAUUUCUGCAUUUACUUUCAUCUAUAGGCCACAUUCUUGAUGUGACUUGGCGUGGAAAUCUCCUUAUCCCCUUCAUGUUGGGAUUCUAUCAGUUAGCGGGGUGUUCAUGUACCACAGAGGCUGCUCUCCAGGAAAGCUCUGACAAACCAGGUGGAAAACUGUCCCGAUAACCAGGUAUGUUAGCUUGGCCAUGCCAGCAGUUCUUGACCCUGGUUGUACACUAGAACCAUUUGGUAUUAUUUAAUAUGACACGGAUACCUGUCCCCCAUCUCUAGAAAUUCUGAUUUGAUUGUACCUGGCCCAGACUGGGGCCAGACUAGACCUCCUAGGUGAUUGUCCUCAUUAGACACUAGCCUGGCUAAUCACCACCAGGUGAUUCUGAGAUGCCAAUGGAGCAGAAUACCACUGACCUCUACGGCAGAGGCGAGGUGCUGGUCACCCUCAUCUGUUCGUGCUGUUAAGAAAACUGAGACAUAGACUCUCAACCUCGUGUGUAAAUACAAAUUCAAGAAAGUCCUG
RNAcentral lists this long non-coding RNA (689 nucleotides) under Canis lupus familiaris (dog). Its description in RNAcentral is "lncRNA (ENSCAFG00000040348.3)". Lineage: Eukaryota; Metazoa; Chordata; Mammalia; Carnivora; Canidae. The record is from RNAcentral.